GGCUUCAACAUCCCCGCAGGCUGGGCGCUGAAUCGGGACUGAUUCCCCCGACGACGUGCAGUGAGCCUGCUGUGCC
Molecule: small RNA, 76 nt
Filed under: unclassified sequences
Description: NAD+-I sequence
Rfam family: nadA riboswitch
Source: Rfam by way of RNAcentral